This is a long non-coding RNA of Oryzias melastigma (Indian medaka), 2123 nucleotides long. RefSeq lists it as uncharacterized. The record is from RefSeq and is a predicted model, not a curated record. The transcript is spliced from 6 exons. NCBI's taxonomy places the organism in Eukaryota, Metazoa, Chordata, Actinopteri, Beloniformes, Adrianichthyidae.
CAAAAAAAAAACACUCAUCUACCACUGAGCAUUCAUUUAACUCAAAAGGAAGAUAAAACUGAGACUUCCUCAAAAUAACAUUUAAAGUAUGUAUAUAGUUUCAUAUUAUACAAAAAUACCCUGAUUAAAGGCUUAGUAGUCCCUGUCCUAAACUGAGAACAUUUGUAAAGAAUGCUUUUCAGGAAUUUUCCAGAACGCAAAAACACAAAUUAGAAAGUCAUAAAAUAAAUAGACCAAUAUUCAAGGACCUGCUGGCUGCUCUUGGCUGGGUAAAGAUCAAGGUAAAUUUUUCAAAAAUGAAGAGAAUACAAGCCGGCCUCAGCAAAGUUCUCCUCAUGAUGACUAAGCCCGACUAACCAACAAAACAAACCUCUUCAGGAUUUUAAAUUGUUUGCUGUAAAACCCUCCACUGUAGCUGCGAUCAAAAUGUGUUUUGAACUGGAGUUGAAAGUGUAAGAGCAACAUUAUUUUACUGCAGUUCUCCUGUUUUUGUUUUAAAGUGAACUUUCUCGCUUUUAUUUUGAAAACCGGAAGUGCGCACGGGUCCAGCUUCUGCCAGAGCUUUGAACGCAGACGGGGGUAUUCCCGGUCCCGGCUGCCAGUGUCCUCUCCCCUCAACCGGAUAAAGCAGAUGUCCGCUCCCUGAGAUCGCCAGUUGUGCUGUCAAAGCCCUUCCACAACCAAAGAGGAAGAAGACGGAUACAAACUUACGUUUCAUGGAAGCACAACUUCCAUACACGGACACCUGAAACAGAAGCAUCCGGCGGUCUUGCCGUCUUCCUCUCUUUGAGGUCUGGAAAUGUCUGAAAAAGACAUUGGAAACUUCAGUAACUACAGUUGGAGUUAUGUCUAUAAAUGGCCAACGAUUGGGGGGAUCUGUGAACAUUUCCAGGGGAGACUGACUGGCUACUGGAAGAAUGAAUCCAAAAGGGGUUGUUGUCUCACCUCCUCUCCCUCUUUGUCAUGCCGGUCGUUGGCGUGGUCGGCCACGUUGGACAGGAACUCCAGCAGACGGUAAAGAGUGUCACUGUUGCAGGCAGGAAGAUAACAACUUUGGAUUUGGACUCAAUGUCUAGACUGCAGCACCUCGCCUUCCAACAAAACUGACACCAGAGUGCAGAACCAACAGGGACAAAAAGGCAGCUGUAUGGAUUUUCAGUCAAUGAGAACCUCCAGUCACAUCAACAGCUCAGUUAAAUAAAUAAAUUAAAAAAGCUGACCCACUCCGAUCACCUUUUGAUCCAUUUUCAAAUCAUUCUUUUAAUUACGAUAAAGCAGUUUUUAGCCAAAGUCCAAAAACCUUUGAGGACAUAGUUUCUGUAGAGUGGCAGAAGUUCAACAGAAAUUGUCACUGAGCCAGACCGCCCCCACUUCCAGUCACUCAUCUGUUCACACGCUCUCCUGCUAGCUUACAGCCCCUCACAUUCCUAAUCUAAAGCUAUGUUCAACACUUCCAAUGAACAGUAUCAAUAUGUAAAACUCUCACCUUACGCUCAGUUACAGACAUUUUUAAGACCAUAUUCAGGCUUUAUGUACAACAGCCAUUGACUAUGCGUUGAAAGAUAAACCAGUUGAACUUUGACCAAUCAGGGACUUGGAUUUGGUAGUGACGUAUGGACGAUCUCCCUUUUAAUCAAUGGAAGUGCCAGCCAUUCGAAAACUGAUCAUGGAGGAGAAAUUAAUAAUUGUGGUUUGUGGCCGAACAAAAUUAUAUGAAACAAAGUCUUUCAUAUAUCGAAUAGAGCCGUGAAAGAAAAACCCUAACACAAAUUUGCAAGAUUUGAUAUUUUGCACCAAACCGCUUCUAACUGUAGGUAUUGGACAUGCACUAGUGAACAGUAGAAUGUGCGUCAUAUGACGUAGUGUGAACCAUUCACUGUAUAAAAUGAACUGGACUGAGUGACCCCUCCCUUGUGGCGUUCCAAAUAUGAAGUACCUAAAAAUCCCAUAGACUUCUAUUGUAAAAUAAACAGCUAUUACUGAGUCAUAUUAUUAGAAUACUUAUUCUCGCUCUACUACCUGUUUUUAACAUGUUCUCGCUAAUCCUGUUCGUUUUUCAUGAUAUUUUAGCUAUAGUGCAAGUUAUUCAAGUUAUAAACUGACCAAUCAAAUGUCUCAGAUGA